GCGAUCAUACCAGCACUAAUGCACCGGAUCCCAUCAGAACUCCGCAGUUGAGCGUGCUUGGGCGAGAGUAGUACUAGGAUGGGUGACCUCCUGGGAAGUCCUCGUGUUGCACCCC
This 115-nucleotide ribosomal RNA is filed under the name Tetracentron sinense. The record is from RNAcentral. Lineage: Eukaryota; Viridiplantae; Streptophyta; Magnoliopsida; Trochodendrales; Trochodendraceae.